Molecule: non-coding RNA, 543 nt
Organism: Schizosaccharomyces pombe (fission yeast)
Lineage: Eukaryota; Fungi; Ascomycota; Schizosaccharomycetes; Schizosaccharomycetales; Schizosaccharomycetaceae
Source: the annotation of a GenBank genome assembly
UUCUAAGGGCUAAAGCCUUCAUAGCAAAAGUCAAAUUAUUCGAUUCCACCGGUCAUAAAACAAUCAAUUUUCUCCAUUCUUUGAGUCGCCUCGCAUUGUUAAGCAUUAAGAAUGCAUAAAUGAUCGCUGCUGAAAUAAGCUGGUUUUCGAUUUAAACAGACCAUAGGUUAUUCUAGUCCUACCCUAUUCACUUGCCGCGUAAACGAAACAAUUGGUUUUUUCAUUAAGGACUAUUGUGUUGAAAAACUUAAAUGAAUUAGCCUAUUACUAGUAAAUGGUACUUCGCUGGGUGUCUUUGUUGCCCAUCUCUAUUGUUGUUGAUUGUAAACAAUGGACAAUGCUAAUCUAUUCAAGUGAAUCCCCAUUAUUAUGUAUUAUCAUAUAUAGCAUGCAACUCUUAUGAAAAUGAAUCAGAUAAACAAUCCGGUUUCUUUAUUCGAGUAAGUCAUAGCAUUUUCACAUUUUUCGAAAUACUGAAGCGUAUAAAAUUAUAGUCACUUUUCAAGAAUUGUUUCGAAACUGAAUACAUCAAUAUAUUCCAAA